AGUCGAGGGGUAACAGAAAAGCUUGCUUUUGCUGACGACCGGCGCACGGGUGCGUAACGCGUAUGCAACCUACCUCAUACUGGAGGAUAGCCCCUGGAAACGGGGAUUAAUACUCCAUAGUAUCACAAUUUCGCAUGUUAUUGUGAUUAAAGUUUUUCGGUAUGAGAUGGGCAUGCGUCCCAUUAGCUUGUUGGUGAGGUAACGGCUCACCAAGGCAACGAUGGGUAGGGGGCCUGAGAGGGUGGUCCCCCACACUGGUACUGAGACACGGACCAGACUCCUACGGGAGGCAGCAGUGAGGAAUAUUGGUCAAUGGAGGAAACUCUGAACCAGCCAUGCCGCGUGAAGGAUGACGGCCCUAUGGGUUGUAAACUUCUUUUAUAGAGGAAGAAACUUGUCUACGUGUAGACAACUGACGGUACUCUACGAAUAAGGAUCGGCUAACUCCGUGCCAGCAGCCGCGGUAAUACGGAGGAUCCAAGCGUUAUCCGGAUUCAUUGGGUUUAAAGGGUCCGUAGGCGGAUUUUUAAGUCAGUGGUGAAAGCCGACAGCUCAACUGUCGAACUGCCAUUGAUACUGGGAAUCUUGAGUACAAAUGAAGUAGGCGGAAUGAGGUCAUGUAGCGGUGAAAUGCAUAGAUAUGACUCAGAACACCGAUUGCGAAGGCAGCUUACUAACAUGUACCUGACGCUGAGGGACGAAAGCGUGGGGAGCGAACA
This 719-nucleotide ribosomal RNA is filed under the name uncultured marine bacterium. RNAcentral describes it as "bacterial SSU rRNA". It matches the Rfam family "Bacterial small subunit ribosomal RNA", at positions 60 to 774 of the family's 1533-position model. The record is from RNAcentral.